AAAAACCUGCUGUUGCGCGCCCAAAAACCGGUACCGUGUAUACUGCCCUCUAUUGUUUAGUCUUUUCGGUCGGCCAUUUUUAUUGAAAGGAAAAGGGCUCGACAAGAGUUGGAAUCUCUUGUGUCAGUUGCACAUCAUGGCCAAGUCCAAGAAUCACACCAGUCAUAACAACAGCCGCAAGAACCACCGCAAUGGUUUCAAGAGACCCAAGAAGACGAAGGUUCCUUCUCUUAAAGGGGUUGAUGCAAAGUUCCUGAAGAACAUGCGGUUUGCCAAGAAGCACAACAAAAGGCACCCCAAGCCCAAGGCUGAAGCAUAAACUGGAUGUCAAGCGGCUUAUAUACAUGUAUAUUUAAAACAAAAAAAUGUCUGGAAGUGACUUGUUUUGGAAACUCGGCGACCUUACAAGCAUUUUGGUGUUGGAAAAUAAGCCCCACAGUAAAGAUAUGAGUUCAUCAGAGCUUUGCCCAAUUCAACCUACUCGGGGGACGUGUUGUGGUUUCUUCACCAUAAGUUAAAGGGAUGGAUCGCAGGAGAUUGCAAAGGGAAGCACCUACACAUUUCCAUCCUUGAUCUUUAAUUUUCUCCCUUUAUCCAAUGAAUGAAAGACCUGCAUCUUUUUUGGAGAUGUGUUGAAUAAAAUGGAGGGUCACACCUAACCCAGGAGAAAAAAA
Patiria miniata (bat star) is the source of this 674-nucleotide long non-coding RNA. RefSeq lists it as uncharacterized. The transcript is spliced from 4 exons. The record is from RefSeq and is a predicted model, not a curated record. Lineage: Eukaryota; Metazoa; Echinodermata; Asteroidea; Valvatida; Asterinidae.